GUCCUCGUCGUCUAGUCGGGCUAGGAUCACGGAUUCUCAAUCCGUGGACGCGAGUUCGAAUCUCGCCGGAGACACCA
RNAcentral lists this transfer RNA (77 nucleotides) under Acidobacteriota bacterium. Its description in RNAcentral is "Acidobacteria bacterium tRNA-Glu". It matches the Rfam family "tRNA". From Rfam's summary of the family: Transfer RNA (tRNA) molecules are approximately 80 nucleotides in length. Their secondary structure includes four short double-helical elements and three loops (D, anti-codon, and T loops). Further hydrogen bonds mediate the characteristic L-shaped molecular structure. tRNAs have two regions of fundamental functional importance: the anti-codon, which is responsible for specific mRNA codon recognition, and the 3' end, to which the tRNAs corresponding amino acid is attached (by aminoacyl-tRNA synthetases). tRNAs cope with the degeneracy of the genetic code in two manners: having more than one tRNA (with a specific anti-codon) for a particular amino acid; and 'wobble' base-pairing, i.e. permitting non-standard base-pairing at the 3rd anti-codon position. RNAcentral also lists the same sequence under 1 other name. The record is from RNAcentral. Lineage: Bacteria; Pseudomonadati; Acidobacteriota.